Long non-coding RNA from Oryzias sinensis (Chinese medaka), 1908 nucleotides. The record is from Ensembl. NCBI's taxonomy places the organism in Eukaryota, Metazoa, Chordata, Actinopteri, Beloniformes, Adrianichthyidae.
AAAGGGAAUGGACGAUGCGGGCAGAUCUGUCAAUCAAGCAGCAGCCUUCCCCCAAGACACCAAUGUCUGCAUACAGACACUCAUCCAUACACCUCCACCGGCUGCAGAUCCUCCUCAGCUCAAUGAGUAACCAACCCACAGGAAAGAGCCUAGAGUCAAUCAUCCCUGAUGGAGAUCCUUCUCCAGUGGCGACUGCUCAAUUCUAUCUGUUUACAUAAACAACGUGUCUUAAUAAUACAUGUUUCCACAGACACAAUCGAUUCGUCUGGAGUAAACAAGGAAGCCAGCAAGUCUCACGUUGUAAGAGGCGGAUGUUAGACUCCAGACGCAACAGGACCACUGAAUGCUUAAUCAACCCGACACUGAUGUCAACGUUUCCACAAGUUAAAACAGAGAUAUUUGCAGGCUUGUGUUUGAAUUUUCCAAUUCGUGAUUAAAUGCAAUAGCAUUGUAGUAAUAUAGUUCUAAUAAAUUAUUAAUCAUGAAUAAUAUCAUUAAUUAUGCAAAUCAACGUGCAUUAUUUUUGGACUUCGACUGACUUUAGCUCUUUGGUUAAAUAAUGUCUGAACAUAUUGACUUACAUUAAUACAAAUUUAUAUGAAAAAAAAAACGUUUAGUGAAACUGCGUUUGUAAUUCAAAGCACUGUCAUAAUGUAAAAUAGUUACAGUGUUGACAGCCUGGAGCGCUCAUCUGCCCUGCGCCUCUUUUCUACCUGCGCGACAAAAAAGCGCUUUCUGAAAGGAGCGUCCGUCCAUUCCCUCCUUUUCGCUUCUGUUACAGGCCUUCCAGAGCGGCUUCCCUCCGUAUUCCUCUGCAGCAUCUCAGUGUUCCAACGAACGCACGAGAGGUUAAAUAAAAGCGUACUCCAGAUAGGAAAGACGUUGGGUUAUUUCUUAAAAAAAAAAAAGAAAACAGAAAGGAAAAAAGUAUUCCUUAUGGUCAGUAUUUCCUGAAAGGAGCGCAAUUUCAUAUCCUGGAAAAAAAAAAUAAGCACGCAUGAAGGUUCACAUGCAUGGAUAGGUCCCGAACAGAAGAGAGAUCCAUAAAUGUGAGCGAAAUCAUGCGGGUCAGAGGGACCCCGGGCCUCCGGUGUGACGGCAGCGGCCCGCAGGUGCGCGGUGUGAGCUGUGGGAUGCUCUGCAGCUUCUCCGGCUCCACGCGUCAACUGUUAAAAGUACUAUUUUAAAGGUGAUUUUAUUUCUGUUAUUCAUUCCUAAAAUCCGAAGGAUGGGACUCUCAUUAGGGGCGAAUAAGCAAGCAUCAACACUUUUUUUCGCUGUCCAUAAGCACAGGGAUCACUUAAUAGAUCAUUAACCACCGAUAUGCUGCUGACAUGCACGCUUUUUUACAUCUCGUCUCUCCAUUACAGCUCGUGAUUACCGAGGGAGGACAGCCGCCGGCAGGCCUGCCAGGAUCUAUUAGACGGUGGACUCAGGUUAUAUUAGAGAGCAUUACGACCUAAUGGGGCUGCCGCUGUAGGUCGGCCUCUCGGGGAGAGGGGUUUAGGUCGGCUCGGCACGACAUGACUUACUCACAUCACUUCUGUUAGGGAGUUAGGGAGGGAAACUCAGCUCACCUACAGAUGAAGGACUUAAGGACAAAGUUUUUGCCAGAACGUUUUUAUUUGCGAGAAAAACAGAUGCUUGUUAAUUAGAUAAAAAGACGACGUGUGGUCCAGAUAAAAUAAAUUAAUUAAUAAAAAAAAGAAAACAGACAUUGAUUGGCAGUUAGCAAAAGGUACAUUGGUGUUAUUAUUUUAAAAUGAAAUUCAAAUUAAAAUCACAUUUGGAUUGUUUUGUAUCCCCUUAAUCACUCCAGUGUCUAAGACAGCGCGUAUUAUAAUUAGGAGACCAAAAAACGGAGUAUAAUAAAGUUGAGAUGUCAUUGAAGGAUGACUAAUUGGUUAC